Long non-coding RNA from Pyrus x bretschneideri (Chinese white pear), 751 nucleotides. RefSeq lists it as uncharacterized. Lineage: Eukaryota; Viridiplantae; Streptophyta; Magnoliopsida; Rosales; Rosaceae. The transcript is spliced from 3 exons. The record is from RefSeq and is a predicted model, not a curated record.
CGAAAUGGGGUCUUAGGUGGACGCCUGGCCAAACCCUCAGGGCCGACCCUGCUUCCCUCCCACUCGUUUCUUCCCCGAGCCACACACAGGCACCACCUCCAAUUUUCGACGAUUUUAACCACCAAAACACCAUCACAGUUUCACCACGACUCCGUAAUCACCAUCAAACCCGCUGUUUAGCGAGAUUCAAAGACGAAUCCCUGGAACCCUGUUAAGGGUAAGGAACAGAUGGGCUAGAUUCCGAUAUCUUUUGGCCGUUUCCGGCCACUCCCACCUCUCCGGCUACCUCUUCAACGCGGAUAAGACAUCUUGAAGCUCUGAAUCUUUAUUCAACAGAUGGUGGGAGAAUUGUUAGAGAGAAACAAUAGAGAAGACGGUUUUUUGGUGAAAAAAUUACCAAAAAAAAAUAAAAAAAAUAAAAAAAAAAUCAUAAUUGAUUCCUAGUCUGUAUGAACGGCCAAGAUUUCGUGAUCAGGAGGCUCUGCAUGGCUAGAUCCGGAGAAGGCGAGACAGAGGGGCGAAUAAAGAAGAUACAAUGUUAGUAAUUAAGUCUAGUUUGUUGACAGACGGCAUGAAUUAUUGAAUACUUUUGCAACUCUGCCCAUAUUCCUGAUGCUCUUUCCUCUUGCGGGUUUGAACUAGCAUAAAAGAUUAAUUAUGCAAAUUUUUAGUUAUAUUCGUAUGUCAAUGAUAUUACGAUUUGUUUCCUUAUAAAAAAAAAAAGAAAAGAAAAAGAAAUAUGAAACUCCAA